Molecule: ribosomal RNA, 447 nt
Filed under: uncultured bacterium
Lineage: Bacteria
Description: bacterial SSU rRNA
Rfam family: Bacterial small subunit ribosomal RNA
Source: RNAcentral
UGGGGAAUCUUGGACAAUGGGCGCAAGCCUGAUCCAGCCAUGCCGCGUGAGUGAAGAAGGCCUUCGGGUUGUAAAGCUCUUUUACCAGGGACGAUAAUGACGGUACCUGGAGAAUAAGCCCCGGCAAACUUCGUGCCAGCAGCCGCGGUAAUACGAAGGGGGCUAGCGUUGUUCGGAAUUACUGGGCGUAAAGCGCACGUAGGCGGAUUGUUAAGUCAGAGGUGAAAUCCCGGAGCUCAACUUCGGAACUGCCUUUGAUACUGGCAAUCUCGAGUCCGGAAGAGGUUAGUGGAAUUCCCAGUGUAGAGGUGAAAUUCGUAGAUAUUGGGAAGAACACCAGUGGCGAAGGCGGCUAACUGGUCCGGUACUGACGCUGAGGUGCGAAAGCGUGGGGAGCAAACAGGAUUAGAUACCCCCGUAGUCCCUGAGCGGGCUGGCAAGGCGCAU